GCUUUAUAUUGCCAUUCGAGGUCUGCUAUUGAAGUACAAUUUCACACUGGAAAAUAGUAAACAGAUGUUUUUGGACUGCUUAUGUGCUUUGGUUAUUGAUGAAUCUUAAGCGAUUUCAGAUACUGCCCAGGACUUCAUGGAAUAUUUAUUCUCCGCCUCUGGGAAACAUCAUGUAGAACACGACGUUGCUGUGAUUUUUGGCAGGCUUAUUGAAAAACUUCCAAAGUUUGUGCUCGGGAGUAAUGAGUCACUUGCACUUUCACAUGUUCGGCAAUUGCUUAUAGUGAUAUAUUAUUCUGGUCCUCAGU
Hibiscus syriacus is the source of this 308-nucleotide long non-coding RNA. RefSeq lists it as uncharacterized. NCBI's taxonomy places the organism in Eukaryota, Viridiplantae, Streptophyta, Magnoliopsida, Malvales, Malvaceae. The record is from RefSeq and is a predicted model, not a curated record. The transcript is spliced from 3 exons.